Molecule: ribosomal RNA, 551 nt
Filed under: uncultured bacterium
Lineage: Bacteria
Description: bacterial SSU rRNA
Rfam family: Bacterial small subunit ribosomal RNA
Source: RNAcentral
UGGGGAAUCUUCCGCAAUGGACGAAAGUCUGACGGAGCAACGCCGCGUGAGUGAUGACGGCCUUCGGGUUGUAAAGCUCUGUUAAUCGGGACGAAAGGCCUUCUUGCGAAUAGUGAGAAGGAUUGACGGUACCGGAAUAGAAAGCCACGGCUAACUACGUGCCAGCAGCCGCGGUAAUACGUAGGUGGCAAGCGUUGUCCGGAAUUAUUGGGCGUAAAGCGCGCGCAGGCGGAUAGGUCAGUCUGUCUUAAAAGUCCGGGGCUUAACCCCGUGAUGGGAUGGAAACUGCCAAUCUAGAGUAUCGGAGAGGAGAGUGGAAUUCCUAGUGUAGCGGUGAAAUGCGUAGAUAUUAGGAAGAACACCAGUGGCGAAGGCGACUUUCUGGACGAAAACUGACGCUGAGGCGCGAAAGCCAGGGGAGCGAACGGGAUUAGAUACCCCGGUAGUCCUGGCCGUAAACGAUGGGUACUAGGUGUAGGAGGUAUCGACCCCUUCUGUGCCGGGAGUUAACGCAAUAAGUACCCCGCCUGGGGAGUACGACCGCAAGGUUG